AACGAACGCUGGCGGCAUGCCUAACACAUGCAAGUCGAACGGGACGGUCGGGUCUAGUGGCGCACGGGGGCGUGCCGCGGGGGAACCUGCCCUUAGGUUCGGAGUAACUCCCCGAAAGGGGUGCUAAUACCGGUUAAUGUCUUCGGACCAAAGAUCUAUCGCCUUUGGAUGGGCGCGCGUUGGUUUAGCUAGUUGGUAGGGUAAAAGCCUGCCAUGGCGACGAUCCAUAACUGGUCUGAGAGGAUGAUCAGCCCGACUGGGACUGCGACACGGCCCAGACUCCGACGCGAGGCAGCAGUGGAGAAUAUUGUACACUGGGCGAAAGUCUGAUCCAGCCAUGCCGCGUGAGUGAUGAAGGCCUUAGGGUUGUAAAGCUCUUUUACCCGGGAUGAUAAUGACAGUACCGGGAGAAUAAGCUCCGGCUAACUCCGUG
This 433-nucleotide ribosomal RNA is filed under the name uncultured bacterium. RNAcentral's name for it is "partial 16S ribosomal RNA". It matches the Rfam family "Bacterial small subunit ribosomal RNA", at positions 29 to 507 of the family's 1533-position model. The record is from RNAcentral.